RNAcentral lists this transfer RNA (73 nucleotides) under Stegodyphus dumicola. RNAcentral's name for it is "tRNA-Ala". It matches the Rfam family "tRNA". From Rfam's summary of the family: Transfer RNA (tRNA) molecules are approximately 80 nucleotides in length. Their secondary structure includes four short double-helical elements and three loops (D, anti-codon, and T loops). Lineage: Eukaryota; Metazoa; Arthropoda; Arachnida; Araneae; Eresidae. The record is from RNAcentral.
GCCUUCGUAGUGUAGUGGUCUGCACGCUGGGCGCGCAUCCCAGAGGUCCGUAGUUCGAUUCCUGGCGAGGGCG